This 324-nucleotide ribosomal RNA is filed under the name uncultured Ebriida. RNAcentral's name for it is "SSU rRNA". The stretch from base 105 to 324 matches the Rfam family "Eukaryotic small subunit ribosomal RNA", at positions 735 to 955 of the family's 1831-position model. The record is from RNAcentral. Lineage: Eukaryota; Cercozoa; Thecofilosea; Ebriacea.
GAUUUCUGGUUGACUGUGCUAGUCCGCUCCUUCGCGGGAGUGUGUGCCGGUACAAGUCCGCCAUCCUUCUAGAUGGCCGUGCCUACCGUUAACUCGGUCGGGUGCGUGUGAUCUAGAUCUUUUACUUUGAAAAAAUUAGAGUGUUUCAAGCAGGCUUUAUGCUAUGAAUACAUUAGCAUGGAAUAAUAAUUUAGGACUUCGGUUCUAUUUUGUUGGUUUCUAGGACUGAAGUAAUGAUUGAUAGGGAUAGUUGGGGGUGCUAGUAUUCAGCGGCCAGAGGUGAAAUUCUCGGAUUCGCUGAAGACUAACUUAUGCGAAAGCAUU